AGUCCAUUUAUGUUCUCUCUCUGGAACCCUCUGUCUCUUCUCUCUCUCUUAUCUUCUUCUCCUUUCUAAUAAACGUAUUUUUUUCUUUUUUUCUUUACCUCCCAAACCACCGAUCUGUACUGUGAUUCAACUCCUUCAUAACCCAGCCUUAGCACCGAUCUCUCUCUACGAAUCCAGAUCAACAAAAAAAUUUGAAACCCAAGAACAUUUGCAGCCAAUCUGCAUUAGAGAAGAGCCAGAAAAAAAAAAUUGGAGCUCAAGUCCGUAUAUGUUCUUUCUCUCUGGAACCCUCUGUAUCUCAUCUCUCUCUCUUUUCUCUCUAUCAUUUCAAGACAACAGGACCAAAUCGGCCCAGCAAGAAAGAAAAAAAAAAAAAAAACAUGGGAGGAAACACCGAGUAAUUUUUACAGUGUUCUUUCUGUUGAGUAGGAUUAGAAUGCCUUUUGGGUUGUUGGAGGUAAGGAGAUUAGAGGCUCUAUCUUUGAUUUGAAGGGGCCCUGUGGUUUACCCCGAGCCUUAGUGAGUCGGGGUAUUGGCUAAAAAUCCACUGAGGUCCUUGAGAUGGCACGAGUCAUCAAGUAGAGGUUUGUGAUUCCAAGGCUGCAGAGCAAGAGAUUGUUCUUGAGAAGUUCGAUGUUUUAAGGGAUUGAAGACCAACAUUACCAAAGAGCUCAAUGCCAGGCACAAAAGUUUUCUAUGGCUCCCACUAAAGGAUAUGUCACUUUUGUUAGAUAAAGCUAGCGAUUAUGGACUGUGGCUAUGAUUUGUUGAGCUUCUUUGAGUUGUGAAACUGAAGCUCUCUCUCUUUCCAAAGAGUACUGAUCACACAUGCAGCAGAACAACAUCCUGAUGAGGUCAGAUUUUCAAGGUUCGAGGACAUGAAAGCAAAUGUCCAUAAGGCAUUUGAUGAAGAGCUUCUAUUAUAGCAUAUGACAACAUUAAUUGCGAAAAAUUGAAUAUUGUUACAAUGUUGUAGCAAAACUCAGUUGUUUAUUGUUGAAGGAUGAUAUUUGUAACU
This is a long non-coding RNA of Quercus lobata, 1018 nucleotides long. RefSeq lists it as uncharacterized. The record is from RefSeq and is a predicted model, not a curated record. Lineage: Eukaryota; Viridiplantae; Streptophyta; Magnoliopsida; Fagales; Fagaceae. The transcript is spliced from 8 exons.